RNAcentral lists this transfer RNA (70 nucleotides) under Myuchelys bellii (Western sawshelled turtle). RNAcentral's name for it is "tRNA-Val". Lineage: Eukaryota; Metazoa; Chordata; Testudines; Chelidae. The record is from RNAcentral.
CAAGACAUAGCUUAACCCAAAGCACUCAGCUUACACCUGGAAAAUGCCUAAUAAACAAGGGCUGCCUUGA